RNAcentral lists this ribosomal RNA (197 nucleotides) under uncultured bacterium. RNAcentral describes it as "partial 16S ribosomal RNA". It matches the Rfam family "Bacterial small subunit ribosomal RNA", at positions 328 to 539 of the family's 1533-position model. The record is from RNAcentral.
ACGCUCGACACCUACGGGAGCAGCAGUGGGGAAUAUUGCACAAUGGGGGAAACCCUGAUGCAGCGACGCCGCGUGAGUGAAGAAGUAUUUCGGUAUGUAAAGCUCUAUCAGCAGGGAAGAAGAUGACGGUACCUGAGUAAGAAGCCCCGGCUAACUACGUGACAGCAGCCGCGGUAAUCUGAGCGGGCUGGCAAGGC